UACGUAGGGGGCAAGCGUUAUCCGGAUUCACUGGGUGUAAAGGGAGCGUAGACGGCGACGCAAGUCUGGAGUGAAAGCCCGGGGCCCAACCCCGGGACUGCUCUGGAAACUGCGGCGCUGGAGUACGGGAGGGGCAGGCGGAAUUCCUGGUGUAGCGGUGAAAUGCGUAGAUAUCAGGAGGAACACCGGCGGCGAAGGUGGCCUGCUGGACCGUGACUGACGUUGAGGCUCGAGAGCGUGGGGAGCAAACAGG
RNAcentral lists this ribosomal RNA (253 nucleotides) under uncultured bacterium. RNAcentral describes it as "partial 16S ribosomal RNA". It matches the Rfam family "Bacterial small subunit ribosomal RNA", at positions 524 to 776 of the family's 1533-position model. The record is from RNAcentral.